GGACUAUAUUCUCUAUCACUUGAUCAAGAUUAGAUGGUUGUUGAAUCAGGUAUUUUCCUCGAUUUCUAUGGAUACCAACUUAGCCACCGCCCCAUCUCUUCUGCUGAUGUCUGCCGAUCCCAGUGGAAACAUUGUUACUGUUGAGCUCAUUACACCACUGAUGUUCCACCUUUCAAAGCAAUAAAUUUCUUAAUGAAGUCGGCUGCUCCUUGUUUGUAGCUUAGAGGAGAGGUUGAUUCCGAAGUACCAUAUUUCUAAGGAUUCUUAGGAUGAUUGAAUUGCUGACGG
RNAcentral lists this long non-coding RNA (288 nucleotides) under Elaeis guineensis (African oil palm). RNAcentral's name for it is "long non-coding RNA (EGUI_LNC052923)". Lineage: Eukaryota; Viridiplantae; Streptophyta; Magnoliopsida; Arecales; Arecaceae. The record is from RNAcentral.